GGGGAGGCUAGGGAUAGCAAGCCAGUAAUUAGUAAUAGGCUCUUUUCACCGAGGGAUCGGGUUAAGGGUAGGCUAAGAAAGUUGCAUGACAAUUAGUUAAUCAAGCUAAUAAAUCAAGAGGAGUAAAUAAGAGAGAGCGGAUAAGAUGAAAUUGUAAACCCCCAAGAAGUCCAUUCAUCCAUUGUUUUCUUUUCGUCAAUGGAAUCAAUCUCUUUUGCAUGUUUAUACUUUGUUCUCAUACCCAAUUAAUUAAUUUUUAUUUUCAAGUCUUACGAUCUUAAUU
Molecule: long non-coding RNA, 283 nt
Filed under: Vigna radiata
Lineage: Eukaryota; Viridiplantae; Streptophyta; Magnoliopsida; Fabales; Fabaceae
Description: long non-coding RNA (VRAD_LNC018282)
Source: RNAcentral